This 379-nucleotide ribosomal RNA is filed under the name uncultured bacterium. Its description in RNAcentral is "bacterial SSU rRNA". It matches the Rfam family "Bacterial small subunit ribosomal RNA", at positions 28 to 407 of the family's 1533-position model. The record is from RNAcentral.
GACGGACGCUGGCGGCGUGCUUAACACAUGCAAGUCGAGCGGUAAGGCCCUUUCGGGGGUACGACGAGCGGCGAACGGGUGAGUAGCACGUGGGUGACCUGCCCUUAGCUCUGGGAUAAGCCUGGGAAACUGGGUCUAAUACCGGAUAUGACUCCAUAACGCAUGUUGUGGGGUGGAAAGCCUUGUGCGGCUAGGGAUGGGCCCGCGGCCUAUCAGCUUGUUGGUGGGGUGAUGGCCUACCAAGGCGACGACGGGUAGCCGGCCUGAGAGGGCGACCGGCCACACUGGGACUGAGACACGGCCCAGACUCCUACGGGAGGCAGCAGUGGGGAAUCUUGCGCAAUGGGCGAAAGCCUGACGCAGCGACGCCGCGUGGGGA